CGGGGGGGGCAAGCGUUGUUCGGAAUUACUGGGCGUAAAGGGCGCGUAGGCGGCCUACUAAGUCGGACGUGAAAUCCCUCGGCUCAACCGGGGAACUGCGUCCGAUACUGGUGGGCUUGAAUCCGGGAGAGGGAUGUGGAAUUCCAGGUGUAGCGGUGAAAUGCGUAGAUAUCUGGAGGAACACCGGUGGCGAAGGCGGCAUCCUGGACCGGUAUUGACGCUGAUGCGCGAAAGCCAGGGGAGCAAACGGGAUUAGAUACCCCGGUAGUCCUGGCCCUAAACGAUGAGUGCUUGGUGUGGCGGGUAUCGAUCCCUGCCGUGCCGAAGCUAACGCAUUAAGCACUCCGCCUGGGGAGUACGGUCGCAAGGCUG
Molecule: ribosomal RNA, 372 nt
Filed under: uncultured organism
Description: bacterial SSU rRNA
Rfam family: Bacterial small subunit ribosomal RNA
Source: RNAcentral